AUUGAACGCUGGCGGCAGGCCUAACACAUGCAAGUCGAGCGAGCGGCGGACGGGUGAGUAAUGUCUGGGAAACUGCCUGCUGGAGGGGGGUAACUACUGGAAACGGUAGCUAAUACCGCAUACCAUCUGAUGUGCCCAGAUGGGUUUGGCUAGUGGGUGGGGUAACGGUUCACCUGGGCGCCGAUCCCUAGCUGGUCUGAGAGGAUGACCCGCCAAACGGGAACUGAGACACGUUCCAGACUCCUACGGGAGGCAGCAGUGGGGAAUAUUGCACAAUGGGCGCAAGCCUGAUGCAGCCAGGCCGCGUGUAUGAAGAAGGCCUUCGGGUUGUAAAGUACGUUCAGCGGGGAGGCGUUACCCGCAGAAGAAGCACCGGCUAACUCCGUGCCAGCAGCCGCGGUAAUAC
RNAcentral lists this ribosomal RNA (406 nucleotides) under uncultured bacterium. RNAcentral's name for it is "partial 16S ribosomal RNA". It matches the Rfam family "Bacterial small subunit ribosomal RNA", at positions 30 to 526 of the family's 1533-position model. The record is from RNAcentral.